RNAcentral lists this ribosomal RNA (482 nucleotides) under uncultured bacterium. Its description in RNAcentral is "partial 16S ribosomal RNA". It matches the Rfam family "Bacterial small subunit ribosomal RNA", at positions 30 to 507 of the family's 1533-position model. The record is from RNAcentral.
AUUGAACGCUGGCGGCAUGCUUUACACAUGCAAGUCGAACGGUAACAGGCCGCAAGGUGCUGACGAGUGGCGAACGGGUGCGUAAUGCAUCGGAACGUGCCCAGUCGUGGGGGAUAACUACUCGAAAGAGUAGCUAAUACCGCAUACGAUCUAUGGAUGAAAGCGGGGGACCGUAAGGCCUCGCGCGAUUGGAGCGGCCGAUGUCAGAUUAGGUAGUUGGUGGGGUAAAGGCUCACCAAGCCAACGAUCUGUAGCUGGUCUGAGAGGACGACCAGCCACACUGGGACUGAGACACGGCCCAGACUCCUACGGGAGGCAGCAGUGGGGAAUUUUGGACAAGGGGCGCAAGCCUGAUCCAGCAAUGCCGCGUGCAGGAAGAAGGCCUUCGGGUUGUAAACUGCUUUUGUACGGAACGAAACGGCUCUGGUUAAUACCCGGGGCUAAUGACGGUACCGUAAGAAUAAGCACCGGCUAACUACGUG